AGGCGCUGGUAGAGCACCACCUUAGUGUCUGUUCCUGCCCACCACAUCCAGAUCUGCUCCCCCAUGCACCACCUUUGCUCCAGCAAGUCAGUUAACCCCUAGGACAGCCAGCAGCAUCGGGAGCCUCAGUGUUCCUCGGACAUGAUGGACCUCCUACUACUGCUCACCUCCACACUUCUGUCUAGCUACUUCCAUCCCGGGAUAGUGGUGGACGCACAGCAACCAUUCACGAUAAAAGACAUCAUCCUGUCCAUUGAGCCCAGUAAUGAUGUGAGUCGGGACACUAAUGUGACUGUAAGAUGCAAGGCCAUUGUCAGCAGCUCAGGGAAGGAGGUGCUGAGUCGUGAGUACACUAUAUACAAGGACAGCAACGAGGUCUACAUCAAGAACUCCAGCACUUCGGAGGAUAUUCUGUACCAGUUGCCCGAGGCCAGAGUCUCCAACACUGGCAAAUAUAAGUGCAAGGUUAACAUUGAGGGCAAAGAGAAGACCAGCGAACCUGAAAAACUCACAGUAACAGGCCUGUCAAAACCAGUUCUCCACCUUAACAAGGGCGUGGUCAUUGAAGAGGAUGAGGUAACAGCCAGGUGUAUGGCGCCGGGCGAGACAGGCUCCAUUUUCUUCUACUUCUACAUGGACUCCAAAGUGAUCUGGGAGUCUCUGGGCAACUCCAACCAGUUAGAUGCCAAGUUUCAUUUCAGCAGCAUUGGUGUCCACAAAAUUCACUGUACCUAUACAGUCAUCAUAAUGCCGGACUUCUUCAAGUCCAAAGAAAGCAACACUGUCACUAUUUCAGUCAAAGAGCUUGCCAUCACACCAGUUUUGGAGGUUUUCCCUCAGUCCAAGAUCUAUGAAGGAGACCAUCUCAACAUCUUGUGCACCAUCAGAAAUUUUCUGCAGAGCUCUGAAAGUAGGCCUAUCAAACUCUUCCUGAGCCAGGGGAGCCAGCUCCUUAGCAGUCAAAACACUACUUUCAACCACAGCAUGGUCGCACUGGCAAAGAACCCCGGGGAUUUUGAUUGCAGAUUGGAGAUAGGCCGUGUAGUAAAAGUCGCCAAACAGGCAGUGGCAGUGACUGAGCUGUUUUCAGCACCCACUCUCACCAUGUCUCCUGCUGAAGUGUUUCAAAAGGAAUAUAUGACGCUAACCUGCAAAAGUGAGAGUUACGCCUCUGAAAGACUCAACAGGGCAGAGCUGACUUACACUCUUGAGCCACCUGACAGCCCACUGUUCCCCAUGAAGCCUGGGGUAUUUUCUGGCAAGGCCCUUCAGUAUGAUUUCAACUAUACCUGUGUAGCUCAAGCCAAGGGCAUCAUGAAACACAGUGAAACCCUGACUGUACAACCUAAAGUUUCUGUCUCCAUUCCAAAGAUCUCCGUGGAUGGCAAAGCGGUCCUAGGUCAACCCUUCAAGAUCCGCUGUCAGUCAGACACUGGCAGCUUGCCCAUCAACUACACCCUGCUGAAGGAUUACAGCCAGCUGAGCACAGCCAGCGUCAAGCUGCCCACUCAGCAAGCUCUCUUCACAGUCACCAUCAACAAACCGGAGGAAAUAAGCAAGUACAUGUGCGAGGCUAAGAAUAAUCACAAGGAAGCCCCGCUCAGUAAAAGACUCAACGCUACUGUUAUAGAGCCUCUGAGGGACCUGACUCUGACCGUCAUCCCCCACAUACAAGAAAUCUCUGAGGGAGAUAAGCUCUACCUGAUAUGUGGUACUAAAGGCACACCACCAGUCACCUUUAAGUGGUACCGUGUUGGCAACAAACUGCCGCUGUUCACCACCACCUCUGACAAGAACAGCUCGGACUACUGGGUCCCCAAGUUGUCCAAAGAGCACAGCGGCACAUACUACUGCGAGGCUGACAACCACGCCAAUAUUGUUGUCAGCAGUGAGAAGGUCGACAUAGAGGUACGCCUGGCGUUGUGGAAGAAAGCGGUGAUCGGGGGGGUUUGUCUGCUAGUGGUGUCAGUGCUGGUGGUAGUGUGUACGCUGUACUUCAGAUCCAAGAGAGGUAAAAGAGAAGCAGCUGCUGAAUUGUCAGUGUGAGUUGGCUCGAUUACUUGCUUCCUCUGCAUAUGACAGAUACUGUAGAAGUUAGUGACAGCGUAUCUAGCUUUAUUAGCUGGCUUAGAUGGCUGAUGGUCCAUGAUAUUGUUAAGUUUCUGUUAUUUAUAGCCUUUAAAGAGCCAUCCUGGUUGUUUUGCAUGUUUCUACUGUAAAAAGCACAGACUUCAUAAUCGCAAAGUUUUUAGGUUAAAUUCCCACCUUCCAGGCAGUAAUUAGUUGAAUAUUGGCGUGAUAUGAGGAUCAACUUUAGUAUUCGAGACAGGAAACACUGAGUAUAUGGAGAUUUUUAAUUUUUGUUGUGUAAUCUCCACUUGGUAAUGCUUUUCCAAAUGGAUACCAAUCGAAAACUCCCAAUCUCUAGUUUGUUCGUGAAGGCUCUUACAUCGACGAUUUGAGAACCAGCUGUUGAAAAAUGUCAUUCUCAAGAUGGUUGCCUGGCAACCUCACAGUGAUGACAAGACUCCAGGAUGUUACUGCUCCUGGCCAAGAAAUAGUCACCUUUGUAUUCUAUAAGAUUGACAUUUUUAUAUUUCAGUUUUUGUGCAGACUAAACAAACCAAACAUAACAUGUUACUCAGUGACCUUUAGAGGUGCUGGCAGAUGAAUUUUGUUACGUUUGGACAGAAAAAGGCUAGCUGUUUACCCCAUAUUUCUAGCUAAGCUAGGCUAACCAUCUACAGCAGACAUGCAAGUGGUAUUGAUGUUCUCGUGUAACUCUCAGCUAGAAGGCAAAUAAGCAUGUUUCCCAAAAUGUCAAAUUAUUACUUUGAAGUACACAGAAUACUUUAUACAUCCAAAGAGGGGAAAUCGCAGUGUUACAGCAGCUAAGUCAGCUAAAUAAACUAGUUAAUAAGAAACAAAAAACUAUAAUAUGAGAAAAAAACUAUGGACAGUAAGCAAAAGCUGAGAAUAGAGGCUAAACGUAGGAACACAAUUUCUCAAUAAACACUGUACAGUGGUAGCACCUAGUGAUAUACUACACAUUAGUGGAGCUAGUUAAGUAUUAAUAAUGUUAUAUGCUGUACAGUAAUGUGCUGUAUUGUACUUUGAUGUUAAAAUAGAGUUACUCUAAUUAUACAUUAACUGUUUGUAGACGCAAAGGUAGAAAUCUGUUAUGUAAUACAAAAAAGAAAAAAACUAAACAAAAAAGCAAAAAAACUCCCAAACUUUAAAGGUACCCUGGGGAGGUUUUGACCAUUAGUGUCACUGUGGAGCAAUGUUUUGAUGAGUGGGUCCCCUUUUAUUUGUAUGUUGUGCACAUUGGGCACAUUCCCACCAUUGGUUUCACGCUAUUUCUUUAAUCUACAAGUGCCAGUAAUGCGCCAAGAAAAGUAACAAUUCCCCAGAACAAUAUAGGGAAAAAAAAGAUCACAAGCUAGCAAACAUGGAUGUAAACAAUGAGGGUUUUCAUACUUGUGUUUUUGAGGAAGAAAGUACAAUCCAAACAUUAUAGGCCUCAAUUAUACAAAUAAUCCAUUUUUGUUGAAAUCGACUGGUGUAAACAUAACUUUGUUUUGAAGAACACCUAUUACACAACCUGCUGCAACAGGCUGCCACUCAUGUGGCGCCAUGUUAACAGGCUCCAACAUGGAAAACCACCAGUGUGGUUUUUGAAGUCCAUCAUUAGCUUGUAUCAGAAUUUAUUUUAUGUAGUUCUUUUUUAUUUUUUUUGUGUUUUUAUUUUGGUUUGCUUUUUAGUAUAUUUUUCCUUGACUUUACUGCUGCCCAGGCUGACUUUAUUUUCACCAUUUCUCAGAAAGCCUUCGAGGGCUCUUUAAUCUAAAACAUGACACAGAGGUUUAUAACACAGCCACAGGCGCAGCGCCACUCUAUGAUGGCAUGGAGGGGAGAGUGAGGGACGCGAGAUAGCGUGGCAUCGCUUCCCACUGCCAUCAGCAACAGGAGCAGCUACAGUAUCCCUGCCACAGUGUAGAGAUGCCCUGCGGUGGGAGGGACUUGAAUUCAAUUUUUAAAAAACUUUGAAAGAAAAGGAAGUUCUAAGGAAAGACUUUGAGAGCAAAAAUGGAAAGAAAAAAAACAGGCAGUGAUCCUUUUUGUGAUGCCAAGUGUUGUAGGAUUUGGACAUUUUUUUCACUGAUGAGUUUUCUCAGUGAAAAGGAGGGGUGUUUUUAUGACAAGAUAUAAAUCAGGACCCGCUGCUCCCUCUCCCCUCCUCCUGCAAUCUAGAUGGCCUUUGAUUUUAUACUUACCAUUACUGUCUUUGUCCUUUGUUUCUUCAUUCCCUAUGUCCGUGGGAUUGCAUGUCCUUUUUUGUUGCAACUGCUCUAUUUGUCUGAUGUGCAUGUAUAAAUAGGUUUGGUCACAGAUUAAUUUGUAUAUACAUUUUAUCACCAUCACAGGAAAUGUGUGUAUAUAUUUUUGGUUGAUCCCUUGACUGGAAGAGACACAUGUAGAAUAAAGACAUUGGUUUUAUUUAGAAGUGUGUCAGUACCUUUCAUUUUAUUCCAGCUAUUGAGUCUUAAGCUAAAUUCAUAUAUCGUAAAAACUUUUUUAUCAUGCAUUAAUUUUCUGUUAUGUUUCGGAAUGGUGAGACCAUCCUAAGCACAAGUCCAAGAGAAGAAUACCAGCAUAAUAUGAAGUCGAUUCAUUUCCUAAAAAUGUAACACACAACAGAGAAUUCCUUGCAAAGUUGAAACAAUGGAGUCUGCAAGAAAUUUCCUCUGUUGGAGCAUGUUGGGGGGGGUCUGUGUUGACCAAACCGGUGAUGUUGGGGAGGGUGGGGCUUAUUUUGUUUCAGGCCAGAUUAGUCUGAAUGCAUGUAGCAGGUGGAGGAAAUUAAUCACACAAGCUUUAAUUGAGCUGUGUGUAAGAUUACAUUACCAACUGGGAAGUUGUUUUUGCCAGAAUUUAUUGUGCAGCCGUUGCUGAAUUAACAACCUAUUGUGCACCAAGGCAGUGGAAGAUUUCUGUGUGUACCAGAUGAAAACUUAAAAUGUGCUCCUUUGUUGCUGGUUUUGUUUCAAGAGUAACAAAGCCUCCACUGAAGGCCAAGUUGACAUGUCCCACAAAAAAAGUGUCUCUCAUCAUUCCCUUAUAGCCUUUAGAAUGGAAUAUAAUCUUGAUAUCUGACUUUUGGUCAUUUAAAAAUAGUUUGACAUUUUGGGAAAAAUCUUUCUCACUGAGAAUUAGAUGAGAAGAUUGAUGAUACUUUCGAGUCUGACUGUUUACUAUGAAAUGGUUAGCUUAGUUUAGCUUAGCAUAAAGACCAGAAAGAAGCAACUGUCAGCAUGGCUCUGUCCAAAAGUGACCCCCCUGAUGUAUUUGCACUUAAAUAUUUGUACGAAUUAUACAAGAUGGCACAUGGCCAUUAGCAAAAUUUAGGU
Molecule: RNA transcript, 5411 nt
Organism: Xiphias gladius (swordfish)
Lineage: Eukaryota; Metazoa; Chordata; Actinopteri; Istiophoriformes; Xiphiidae
Gene name: platelet endothelial cell adhesion molecule
Exons: 11
Source: RefSeq, a predicted model, not a curated record